CUCCAACUGCAAUGCCUGACUCCCGGUUGUUUCUCGGUUUUGGAUACGAAUGUUCGCGUAAUGACAACAAAUAUUCAUUUCUCCAUUGUUUCGCAAAUCGCUCGAGUAAUUGUUUGUGAUGCCGAAGUCUCCUAGUUAAUGACUUAUGGGUACUAACCACUUCAUAGUGUUGGGUAUUUGGAGAUGUAGUAAUUCGUCGUCCAUAGACUAGAUGCGACGGUGCAAGUGGAUACGAGAUAGCUUCGGUGUCAUCAUAGACGUAGGUUAUGGGACGUGCAUUCAAUAAGCCCUCAAUUUCCA
Paramuricea clavata is the source of this 300-nucleotide non-coding RNA. The record is from the annotation of a GenBank genome assembly. NCBI's taxonomy places the organism in Eukaryota, Metazoa, Cnidaria, Anthozoa, Malacalcyonacea, Plexauridae.